Long non-coding RNA from Vicia villosa (hairy vetch), 300 nucleotides. RefSeq lists it as uncharacterized. The record is from RefSeq and is a predicted model, not a curated record. NCBI's taxonomy places the organism in Eukaryota, Viridiplantae, Streptophyta, Magnoliopsida, Fabales, Fabaceae. The transcript has 3 exons.
UUGAGGUACCAAAGCUUCUGGAGGCUUCCUCUAUUCAUCUGCGUACGAUUAUCUGGGUACGAUUCUCUUCUCUGUUCGUGUUCCUCAUCUUCCCUCGUCUCCUUUGAUUUUUUUGACCUAAUAUAUAUUUUGUUUUGCAUGUGAGGUACCAAAGCUUCUGGAGGCUAAUACGGGGAGGAAUAUUCUUGAAACAGAUCAUCCAGAAGGUCCUUUUGGCACUAAGCUCAAUUCCCUCAAAGGAGACGAAGGAAAGCGACAACUGCAUUUUAUUUGUGUGUGACUCCAUUUCUCUGUUUUAAG